GAGCUCUACUAUAAGAAGUUAGAUUUGAUGAAGGAGAUGAUUGGGGAUGUUCUGCAAUCUCUAAAAGAUUAGGACGCCAUUAUAAGAUCCAUCUUGUUAUUCUCACCUCUUGUUGUCCUAAUCGCUCAAGAUGUUUUUGUGGUGUCACUGGAUAAGACCAGAAAAGCAACACGCAAUGCAGUAAAUAUUUUUGCCAUUCCAUUCAGUGCAAAUGGUAGGCUUUAUGAUGGCUAUUGCAUUAGGCAUUGCCAACGUUGAUUAUGGAACUUGUUAUAUUAUUUCCUUUUAUUUUGCUUUUGAAUGGAUGAAUGAAAGUAAACUUGAUCUGGGAAGCGAUGCAUAAUUUGUUGGACAUGAAAUGUAUGCAAAAUUUAAGCUUUCUUAUGAACAAGCAUUCACUAGU
Molecule: long non-coding RNA, 403 nt
Organism: Olea europaea var. sylvestris
Lineage: Eukaryota; Viridiplantae; Streptophyta; Magnoliopsida; Lamiales; Oleaceae
Exons: 3
Source: RefSeq, a predicted model, not a curated record